AGGGAUGCCGUGGUGGGGCUGGACAGGGCCAGAUGCUCUCCCCCUGCUUAACCGAAAGGGCAUCACCGCUUUGCUGGGUGCCCCGUUGCUCAGUCCACAGGGGGACCUUGCCUCUCCAAGCAGACCGGGCUAAUCAUUACUUGACUUUUAUUUGAACAUCUGCGCCCUGCCACAGGCCCCAAAGUGGCCAACCAAAACUAAAAUCCCAUAGAAAGCAAAAAGGUCAUUUCCCAAAGCGCCAUGAAAUGGGGCACACCCCACAUGCUGUGGGGGCAGAGCAGGCACUGGAAAACUACCACUAGAAGACAAACAACCCUGUUCAAAGCAGCCAUUGAGCAGCAACUGUUACCCAGCAACCAUCAAUGAUAGAACCCUGGCCCUGUUUGAGCAGGAAUAACUGUCCUUCUGGCCUUCCUCUUCCCUGGGGGUUACCAACCUCUCCUCCUGUGCCUUUCAAAGCAACCCAAGAAAAGUGUCAGGAGAUAAGGAUCAGAUGAGGAUCUGGGGCCCAAUUCUCAUUCAGCCUGAAGCUCCCUGGGGGGAAUUGGGGCCAAUCUCUUGCUAUCUACUGGCUUUUGGCCAAAGGCACUCAAGACUCUUCAGAAAUGGAUUGCGAGAACGCCUGACCUGAGAAAUUGACACAAGAUUGAGCGGAGGUGAAUGCACUGUUUAACAAGAAGAAGGCAGAUCACCAAAGACGGUGGGAGUCCUGUGAUGAGGUUGGGAGGUCGGGAGAAGCUAAGAAGAAGGAGAGAAGAGACUCUACAGUGGGAGAACCACUUUGGGAAGAGCAGGAUCAGCCCCUUUAUCAUUUCGGUUUCCCUCUUCUGCUGCACCGUCUUCAGUUCGACAGUAUCGCUUUUUUGGUAAUCUGGCGACCGGAACGAUACACUUUACUUCUGAGGAACAGCUACAACUGGAAACAAGGUCAGCUUCAUGUUGUUGUUGUUGUUGUUGUUGUUGUUGUUGUUGUUGUUGUUGUUGUUAUAGCCCAGUAAGCUUCCAGACCACCUUGGGUUUAUUCUCUCUUUUUGACAGUUAAAGCACCACAUUUUCAUUGAUGCCAGGAGAUGUUGAACAGUAGGGCACACAUCCUGGGGUGCCUCUGUUAUGGCACAAGAGAUAUUCCCAGACUGAUUGGGCAGGGUUUGGACCACAAUGUGUGUCUGGACAUUUAAAUUUGCAUUCUGAUUGGGCAAGACCUCUAGGGUUUUUAAAUUCUGUCUUGAUCGAAUUGGGCAAGAUCUCUAGGAUUUUUAAAUUGUAUCUGGAAUUGGGCAAGAUCAAGGCCUGUGUGGGCCUCGAUUUUUAAAUUGCAUCCCCCAGCUUGACCUUUACAAUUGUAUUCUGAUUGGGCAAGACCUCUAGGGUUUUUAAAUUCUGUAUGGAAUUGGGCAAGAUCAGGGCCUGUGUGGGCCUCGAUUUUUAAAUUGCAUCCCCCAGCUUGACCUUUACAAUUGUAUUCUGAUUGGGCAAGACCUCUAGGGUUUUUAAAUUCUGUAUGGAAUUGGGCAAGAUCAGGGCCUGUGUGGGCCUCGAUUUUUAAAUUGCAUCCCCCAGCUUGACUGAGCACACAAUCUCUAGGUUCCCUUAGAGUGAAUUGGGCAUGAUACCCUUUUUUUUAAAUUCCAUGUUUGGGCAGCUUUCAGCCAGUGGACUGGAGUCCCACGAGCUUGGAAUCUCCAUUGGCUCAACUGGGCAAGACAAUUGGUGUCUUUAAAUUCUGUCAGGGCCUUGUGGACAUAUUUUUCAGCCAGGGGUGUAGUGUUAAAUUUGGAUCGACUGACCACCCACUUUUAUUCAUGCUCAUGAUAAAGUCUGAAUCAAAUGGAUCACGUUGCGUGUUUUAUAUGCGCUGUGUCCCAAGUCUUGAGUGACCCAUGAAGAGAUGAGUUCUUCUUUAGUGCGCUCAUGGCCAUCUCGGAUCCUUAUUCCUUACUCAAGGAAAGCAUUGAUUGAGAAUGCUGGGCUCAAGGUUUUGAUGCUUUUCUGUCUAUUGAUAAAAUGGAAGGAAUCAUUUCACAUGCAAAUGUUUAAAUUGGUUCUGUCAUGCAAGGGUUUUGAGAACUGUCUGGACUAAAGAAAUAGUUUGAUUGCCUUGUCAGCAAGAGAGGUGCCUGCAGCCUAGGCGGCAACCAUGCUAUCUUGCACAGACACAAAAAGCCUUUUGGAAGGUUGUGUCUUUGUUGAAGAUGAUGUUUAGCAUUUUAGCAUUCAAGACUCUUCAGACACGGAUUGCGAGAACGCCUGGCCUGAGAAAUUGACACCCGAGUGAAUGGAGGCGAAUGCACCUGCUUAAGUUGAGGAAGGCAGAUCACCAAAGGCGGCAGGAGUCCUUUGGUGAGGAUGGGAGGUCGGGAGAAGCUAAGAAGAAGGAGAGAAGAGACUCUACAGUGGGAGAACCACUUUGGGAAGAGCAGGAUCAGCCCCUUUAUCAUUUCGGUUUCCCUCUUCUGCUGCACCGUCUUCAGUUCGACAGUAUCGCUUUUUUGGUAAUCUGGCGACCGGAACGAUACACUUUACUUCUGAGGAACAGCUACAACUGGAAACAAGGUCAGCUUCAUGUUGUUGUUGUUGUUGUUGUUGUUGUUGUUGUUAUAGCCCAGUAUGCUUCCAGACCACCUUGGGUUUAUUCUCUCUUUUUGACAGUUAAAGCAACACAUUUUCAUUGAUGCCAGGAGAUGUUGAACAGUAGGGCACACAUCCUGGGGUGCCUCUGUUAUGGCACAAGAGAUAUUCCCAGACUGAUUGGGCAGGGUUUGGACCACAAUGUGUGUCUGGACAUUUAAAUUUGCAUUCUGAUUGGGCAAGACCUCUAGGGUUUUUAAAUUCUGUCUUGAUCGAAUUGGGCAAGAUCUCUAGGAUUUUUAAAUUGUAUAUGGAAUUGGGCAAGAUCAAGGCCUGUGUGGGCCUCGAUUUUUAAAUUGCAUCCCCCAGCUUGACCUUUACAAUUGUAUUCUGAUUGGGCAAGACCUCUAGGGUUUUUAAAUUCUGUAUGGAAUUGGGCAAGAUCAGGGCCUGUGUGGGCCUCGAUUUUUAAAUUGCA
Hemicordylus capensis (graceful crag lizard) is the source of this 3046-nucleotide long non-coding RNA. RefSeq lists it as uncharacterized. The record is from RefSeq and is a predicted model, not a curated record. The transcript has 6 exons. NCBI's taxonomy places the organism in Eukaryota, Metazoa, Chordata, Lepidosauria, Squamata, Cordylidae.